Molecule: long non-coding RNA, 1594 nt
Filed under: Mytilus galloprovincialis (Mediterranean mussel)
Lineage: Eukaryota; Metazoa; Mollusca; Bivalvia; Mytilida; Mytilidae
Source: RNAcentral
CUUUAAUAUUUACCCCAGAUACUGUAACACAUAUCUAAAUUAUAUCUAUUUACAUGGCAAAACAUCAGUGUCAAACACUCUUUCUGAACUAGUGAUCACUAGUGUAAAAAAUCAAAUACUCUUUUUGAAUUAGUAUCAAAAGUCAAACACGUACUCUCUCUGAACUAGUAUCAAAAGUCAAACACUGUCUCUGAACUAGUAUCAAAAGUCAAACACUCUCUCUGAACUAGUAUCAAAAGUCAAUCACAUACUCUCUCUGAACUAGUAUCAAAAGUUAAAACUGUCAACUAGUAUUCAAACACCUCUGAAUUAUUAUCAAAAGUCAAACACUGUCUCUGAACUAGUAUCAAAAGUCAAACACUUUUCUGAACUUGUAUCAAAGUCAAAAGAAUCUAACUUCUGUCAUAUACAUCAAUAUCAAGCACUGUCAUCAAACUGUAGAAACAAAAAAGUCUAACGUCCCUUACAUGAACUUAAAUAUUUCAAACUCACAAAAAAAACACUUCAUACAUUUUUGUCUUAUAACCAUCACUGCUGCCUUUAGGUGCGACACAUCCUACAUAAGUAUGUCCAUCUUCUGUACUACAGAAAGAGCGUGGGUACAUUAUUCCCUUUAUACUUGUGUUACAAUAUCCUAUAUAAUUCCCAGAAUUGUUUAGAAAGUAUAUGUCAUUGUUUAAGUUUGACACAAUAAUACUGUCAGAUGAAGUAGUGAAUGCACGCAUUGGUUUGAAUGGUUUUUUGUCUGUGUUUACUUCUGGAUGUCCACUGAAGGUAUUUAGAACAUCUCCAUCCUCACUCAGUAUUACCACUCUGCCUCUGCUAUGUUUAGAUAACAUGUCCACUACACAGAUAUUACCAUUUUUUGUUCUUGUUAUAUUACACACAUCUGUAAAUAUAGGAUUUCCAUGUCUUUCAUAUUCGUAUGUAGUUUCAUGUUUCCCAUCUUUAUCCAUCACAACCACAACACGUCUUCCUACAGCUGGGUAAACUAGUUCCCCACUAUAAGCACCAACAGUGACUUUACCAUCUGAGUUUACAUGAACAGUUGAUAUCUCAUCUAAACCCUUUACUUCAUACAAAGAAUCAGUCAUUUCACCUGUCUGACCACUGAUCUGCUUCAGUCUAGGUCCUUCCGUAACUAAAAGUAGAUCUUUAGAUGGAGUCAAUGCCAUACCAUAGAUUUCAAUGUCUUUUUGAUCAAUUAUCUUCAAACUCCUCCCUUCUAUCUUAACUUUCUGUAGUACUUUCUGGUCAGUAAUCCACAAUGUAUCUUCAGAACAGGCUGCCAUAUAAAAAACAUGAGAGAUUUCAGUGUCAAACUGUUUUAAAAUUCUAAUAUCACCCUUAGCGGAAAUAUUUUCUAGUGAACCAAUGUUAUAAAGAGUUAUUUGUCCAGGAAGAAAUAUUGGAAUAAAAUCAAACUUUUUACAAGGUGGUGUGACUGUUUCCUCCAUUGAUUGAACUAACCCCAAACCAUCCACAAAGACUCUCUUGCCAUCUGUGGAUUGGAUGAUAUCAUCAACGACAGACUUUUUAGAAGCCAGACUUGCAAUGAGCAGGGACACCUCCUUUUCUUCUGUUUCAGUACAUC